Nicotiana tabacum (common tobacco) is the source of this 737-nucleotide non-coding RNA. The record is from RefSeq and is a predicted model, not a curated record. Lineage: Eukaryota; Viridiplantae; Streptophyta; Magnoliopsida; Solanales; Solanaceae.
AACCCUAAACCUAAGAAGUCAGAUAUGCUGCGCCCCUUUCUACUGUUCAUCUUCCCCAACUCUCAACUCGCCCUCAACUCACCAUUAAUUCACCCGAGUUCACUCAAAAUGGUCCCCCCCCUCCACGUCAUUUGAUUCCCAACGGUUUUGUCAGUAGGGAGUACGAAUUUUCUCUCCCAAAUAGCACAAUUUCGGAUUCAAAAGGACAAUUGUUGGACGAAUGGGAGCCGUGGACAGAUGAAAAUUGAUCCACGCCUUCCAUUUGUCCCAAAAAUUGUUGAAAAAUCAGAAGAUUUCGGAUAUUUUGAGCAGAAGAUUCGAGAAUUUUUUUAGGGUUAUAUAUAGGAGUUUGGAUUUGUUUGGCUGAUCUAUUAAGCUGUUGAUACUAUCGCUGAAUUUCUUCUCCCAUUUCAGAGUUUCGUUCGAUAUUUUCAGUUGUUUUUUUGCUAAUAGGUAUGUUUCAACACCGUUGUAUUCAUCUUCUAUUUAAAUAAAGUCGUUGAUUUCUGGUUUGGUUUGCUGAAUGCUUGUGAUAGUAUGUCAACAUGAACUUAAAUAGACCUAUAUUAAACUAUUUAUGGAGUUAAGUACUAGAGUUUUGUUAGGUCAAGAUUUGAGGGCAAGCAUGAAGCCAACCACUGAGGAAAAGAAUUUUGGUCCCUGUUUAUUUUUAGAAGUCAAGUUCCUGUAUUUUUGAGUUUCUUUUACUGCAAAAAUAUUCCUUGUUCUACUGUUGA